Molecule: RNA transcript, 4214 nt
Organism: Aedes aegypti (yellow fever mosquito)
Lineage: Eukaryota; Metazoa; Arthropoda; Insecta; Diptera; Culicidae
Exons: 18
Source: RefSeq, a predicted model, not a curated record
CUGAAAAAUUCUGUUUCGCAAAUCGUGACACAUUUUUCAUCGUGCUUUUCCCCAUUUCGUGCGGUUCGCGUUUCCGGACAUUCUACCUUGAAACCGGAUUUUGCAGUGGACGUGACCGAGAGAACAGAGUGCGGUGUGGAUCGACGUUUCGAAAACCGGACGUACUCGAUAUUUCAUACAACGUGAAGCGAACAAAAAGAAAUUCCACCACUCGACAGCACGUGAAAAGCUGAUCCCAUAUGUGAAAACCGAAGCUCACGAAAAACGACUACCGAAAAUAUCACGAUUUUUAUUGCACUCAUACACAUAUAUCCACUACGGAUGCGCUGCUUCACGACGAUCGCGACUUCUACUGGCAAUAAGACACAAAAUCGCAGACACAAGUGGCAAAGAAAACAUGAAUUUCUCGUCAAAAUCGACUAAAAAUAAAAAUAACUCGCAGCUGAAGUGAACGACAGAAGAUGAUGUGAAAUCGAAUUCUUUCGAGCUCAGUGCCUCCCGCAGACAAUCAGUGCACCGUAGCGUCGUGUGACGUGAUUCAGUUUCCCAGUAAAAAAAAUCCUGGAUAUCAACACGUCCCAUACGUAUAGGUACUUCAAUCGCUUGAACGACGUCUUCGCUUAUCGGCAACUCGGGCCGAUAUAAAUCAAUCUUCAAGAGCGAGGGUGCCCCUUCAUACAUUAUCAAAUCGCGGUUUCCCAAUCGAAGCUGCCCAAAAGGAGCCGGUGAUCUAACGAUGGACACAUUCGUCAUGUUACUUUUCGCGUUGAUCGUCGUAGUGAUAGCGCUAGUUUUCCUCUCGAAACUCCUGUACGAUAAGUACGUGAAGAAGGGUUCCGUCUCGGCCGAUGGGACCGCAGCAACAGCAGCAGCAGUAACGGGCACAACGACGGCCGCCGGGCUGUCGGCCUCCGUCGUCGGAAUCGGAGGAGGUGCCCUCCUGCCAGGUGGAGCCGCCUCCCGGGAAGGUUCCCGCCUGUCCGAACCGAAGGAGGUGCUCGCAUCGAAAAAGGAAGCUCUCCUUGCCCAGGCAAGGAAUGGCGCCCUGGGUGGUGGCGCCCGAGUUGGUGGCGGCUUUGGUGGUGCCGGCAUUGGCGGCGGCGGCCCAAAAGGCGGAAUCGGUGGUGGCGGCGGCGGCACUGCUAUUCUCCGGAAGCGUAUUUCCCGCAAGAGUCCUGGUCCCGAGCUGACGCAGAAGAAGCGCACCGUAUUGCCCCCGUCCAACAUCAACGGAUCGGAUAUGCAAUCAGUUCAAUGGGCCAUUCACUUGUUCCGUUGGCUCUACUCUGACCUGGUCGUUGUGAACAAGCUGCUGCAGGACUGGGUUGGGACCGUCAACACCGCUCUUUUGUCCUAUGUUGAACAGCACGAAAUGAUCGUAGAAGUGGUUCGGGUCCUGCCGGAGAGUCUGCCGCCGAACAUGUCCAGCAUCCUUUGCGAACCGGCCGAACAGCCGAACGAAGUGGAACUACUAUUCGACCUCGAGACCACCCCAGUCCUGCAGAUCAAGGCGUUCAGAUCGACCAAUCAGAAGACGGAAGUGUCGCACUACAAGGCGACCGUGUCCCGAUUGAAGACCCGCAUGAGUGUCAUCGUCAACUACUUUGCGCUCAAGGGUGAAAUGAAGGUGGAGGGUUUCCCGGAUAUCAAAAUCCACCUGAACAGUAUCGGCCCGUUGAAAACGGCCAACGCACAAGACGAAAAGAAGCAGAGCGACCUUAUCGUUGACCUGCUGACGUCCUCCAUUCGGGACGUUGUCUAUCCGAUCGAUUUCUCCAUCUACUCGACCUGUCCGCGACUGAUGGGCGAGGAACCGGAGGAGAUGGCUCCCCUCGAUUACUCAGGUUAUGGGCAAUACGACGCUUACCGUUCGUAUCAAGAUGAUGCGUUCAGCUCUAGUUUGUCGACUUCACCAAAGAAACUUCUAGUCAAAGUAGUCAAAGCCGAAGGGCUUCUGCAGUGCACUCAACCAUAUUGUGUCGUGGAAAUGGAUGAGCCAGCUCAGAAGCACCAGUCAGCCGGCAAAGCGGGACCAAGUCCACUCUGGGACGAAACCUUCCUUUUUGAUUUGUCGAACCAUUCUACUGAACUUCUGUUCGAAGUGUAUGACUCUGUAGCAGUAGCCGCCGGCGGAUUCCAGAAAUUCUUGGGUUUGGGACUGGUCGGCAUCGAUGAGCUCGCCAACGGUCCAGCCUCGACGCAAAUCCUGGAACUGCAGCCUAGGCCUUACGAGACGGAAACAAUUACUGGUACCCUAAUGGUUGAGUUUGUGUUCAUCGACGCUCCUCCAGCACCGGCUCCUCGACGGCAGUACAUGCAGCAAUCGUUCGCUAGGGAUGGAAUCGAUAGGAUGACCACCAGCACCCCCGCCCAAGCGGCUGCCACCCUGCCAGGAGCUGGAGGAAAGCAUACCGUCUCUUCGGCGCCCACUUCUCCGGCCAAAGCAGGCACCAACCUUACCACCAGCACCAGUUUCAGCGAACGGAACAAACGUUUCGAAAUGGCCAACACCAACCGAUUGAACAAAUCCUUCCUAAAGCCCCCCGCAGCAACCGACUACGGCUUGAAUGGCACUAAGCACCACUCCGAAUCGACCCCGGUUUCGCCGGCGCUGUCAUCCGCUUCGCAAUCCCUCAGCGCGGCCACCCUCAGCGGAAGCUCCCCGUACGACGUCAACCGAACCCAGGACAAGAAACCACGGAACAUCUUCGGAACCCUGCGCAACAAGCUGUCACUCUCGAAAAAGUCCAAAUCCCUGGAGAACUCCCAGUACAGUCCGACGCACGUAGGCCAGAUCCAUAGCGCCUCGUCGACGCUCAGCCGCGGUUCCUCGAUGGAUCAGCGAUCCAUCUUCAAGAGCCUCUCGCGGAAGUCUUCCAUUUCCGAGUCGUCGGCCGUGUCGGGAAUCUCGAAUGCCAGUGGGCGGACCUUCGUCCACGAGGAGUCCACGCUGCUGCUAGAAACGUUGGAGAACAACAUCCUGCGGCAUUACCUGGUGCCAAUCGAGGUCGCCCUGCGGCAGAAGGCUUGGAAGCGCAAGGGCGUCAAGCUGCACAUCUAUAACGAUCACACUUUCAUCGCUAAGCAUAUUAAGGGCGGAGUCCUAUGCCACGUGUGUAACCGCAGCAUCCUGCGCCGUCCCGGAAAACAGGGCUACGAAUGCCGCGACUGUCUCAUCCAGUGCCACAAACCAUGCCACGUGCGAACCCCUCAGGCCUGCCCGAAUCCGAAAAUUCUUUCGGUUCAGCUAGCGACAUUACCCGUGCUUAUCGAGUAGAGAUCCCCACUUGUUUUCAUUACAAAACCAAAACUUACAUUAGCCUUAGUCGAAGAAAUUAAAAAACAAAACAAGUCCCCAAGUUAAAAUGGCCAGCCCAGGGCGUUUGAAAUGGACAGUUUAUUCUAAACUCGAGCAUUUAAGAGCGGAGCACAAGUCAAACGAAUCAUCACUAGAGCUUUUGUUAAUUUUACUGUCAGACGUUUAGAAAAAAAAACUACUUUCACAAAACUCGCCUAAUGUUAUACACAAACACACAAUCGCAGCCUCGUUUUUAUGACGAGGCAAAGCUUUAGCCAUUUCUCUAGAAAUCUCUUGAAAUCGAAAAAAAAAUCGAACCAAAACUAUCGGAAUACCUUCCAGACAUGACAAUUCAGUGUAAAUAGCGUGAAUCAAAACUGUUUAACGAGAAUAAAAGCCUUAAAUCGGUGAUAGGACAUAAAAUCACGGAACACGUUCUAUUUAUUGUCAUCCAUUGAUGAACUAGGCGGUUCAGAUAAGGAACACACUCUAAUCAUUUAGAAGGUUGUGAGAAACGUUGUCGUAAGGAACCAAAUACUUAUUUAACAAACAAAAUAACGCCAAUCAAAGCAAGCCGAGUUGCCGAGGAAACGGUCCUAAGCAUUGCUAUGGGCGCAACAUUGCUAACAUUAUUCCGGCCGCUGCGUUCACUUACUACUACAUAUAUUUACUAAAAAAAAGUUACCUUUUACACCAUAAAACGUUUUUGCCGGAGUUGUUGAGAAAGUCAUAAUUGUUAAGGUGCAAGCAAAUAACGGACCCGUUGUUAAAGAUACAAAAAAUGUAUAAGUUGAAAGGAGACCAUACGCAUUACGGAGCAGCAUAGGGAUUAUUAUUCGUUAAGAAAAAUGGUAGCAUAUAGGUGAAACAAAUGAUUUCGAGAACGAAGUGCAAUUGGUAAAGUGAUUUAAUUGAA